GAUGAACGCUGGCUGCGUGCCUAAUACAUGCAAGUCGAGCGAACGGACGAGAAGCUUGCUUCUCUGAUGUUAGCGGCGGACGGGUGAGUAACACGUGGAUAACCUACCUAUAAGACUGGGAUAACUUCGGGAAACCGGAGCUAAUACCGGAUAAUAUUUUGAACCGCAUGGUUCAAAAGUGAAAGACGGUCUUGCUGUCACUUAUAGAUGGAUCCGCGCUGCAUUAGCUAGUUGGUAAGGUAACGGCUUACCAAGGCAACGAUGCAUAGCCGACCUGAGAGGGUGAUCGGCCACACUGGAACUGAGACACGGUCCAGACUCCUACGGGAGGCAGCAGUAGGGAAUCUUCCGCAAUGGGCGAAAGCCUGACGGAGCAACGCCGCGUGAGUGAUGAAGGUCUUCGGAUCGUAAAACUCUGUUAUUAGGGAAGAACAUAUGUGUAAGUAACUGUGCACAUCUUGACGGUACCUAAUCAGAAAGCCACGGCUAACUACGUGCCAGCAGCCGCGGUAAUACGUAGGUGGCAAGCGUUAUCCGGAAUUAUUGGGCGUAAAGCGCGCGUAGGCGGUUUUUUAAGUCUGAUGUGAAAGCCCACGGCUCAACCGUGGAGGGUCAUUGGAAACUGGAAAACUUGAGUGCAGAAGAGGAAAGUGGAAUUCCAUGUGUAGCGGUGAAAUGCGCAGAGAUAUGGAGGAACACCAGUGGCGAAGGCGACUUUCUGGUCUGUAACUGACGCUGAUGUGCGAAAGCGUGGGGAUCAAACAGGAUUAGAUACCCUGGUAGUCCACGCCGUAAACGAUGAGUGCUAAGUGUUAGGGGGUUUCCGCCCCUUAGUGCUGCAGCUAACGCAUUAAGCACUCCGCCUGGGGAGUACGACCGCAAGGUUGAAACUCAAAGGAAUUGACGGGGACCCGCACAAGCGGUGGAGCAUGUGGUUUAAUUCGAAGCAACGCGAAGAACCUUACCAAAUCUUGACAUCCUUUGACAACUCUAGAGAUAGAGCUUUCCCCUUCGGGGGACAAAGUGACAGGUGGUGCAUGGUUGUCGUCAGCUCGUGUCGUGAGAUGUUGGGUUAAGUCCCGCAACGAGCGCAACCCUUAAGCUUAGUUGCCAUCAUUAAGUUGGGCACUCUAAGUUGACUGCCGGUGACAAACCGGAGGAAGGUGGGGAUGACGUCAAAUCAUCAUGCCCCUUAUGAUUUGGGCUACACACGUGCUACAAUGGACAAUACAAAGGGCAGCGAAACCGCGAGGUCAAGCAAAUCCCAUAAAGUUGUUCUCAGUUCGGAUUGUAGUCUGCAACUCGACUACAUGAAGCUGGAAUCGCUAGUAAUCGUAGAUCAGCAUGCUACGGUGAAUAUGUUCCCGGGUCU
Molecule: ribosomal RNA, 1372 nt
Filed under: uncultured bacterium
Lineage: Bacteria
Description: bacterial SSU rRNA
Rfam family: Bacterial small subunit ribosomal RNA
Source: RNAcentral